Molecule: ribosomal RNA, 350 nt
Filed under: uncultured Planctomycetota bacterium
Lineage: Bacteria; Pseudomonadati; Planctomycetota
Description: bacterial SSU rRNA
Rfam family: Bacterial small subunit ribosomal RNA
Source: RNAcentral
GGAUUAGGCAUGCAAGUCGAACGAGGAUAUGUCCUUCGGGAUAUAAGCCGAGUGGCGCAAGGGUGAGUAAUGCAUAGAUUACCUGCCUUUAGGAUAAGGACAACUUUGUGAAAACGAAGCUAAUACUUAAUAACACAAAAGAAAAUAAUUUUCAUUUGUCAAAUGGAGGGUAGCAAUAUCUUUCGCCUAAAGAGGGGUUUAUGUCCUAUCAGCUAGUUGGUGGGGUAAUGGCCCACCAAGGCGAAGACGGGUAGCCGGCCUUAGAGGGUGGUCGGCCACACUGGGACUGAGACGCUGCCCAGACUUCUACGGAAGGCUGCAGUCGAGAAUCUUUCGCAAUGCCCGAAAGG